RNAcentral lists this ribosomal RNA (395 nucleotides) under uncultured bacterium. Its description in RNAcentral is "partial 16S ribosomal RNA". It matches the Rfam family "Bacterial small subunit ribosomal RNA", at positions 523 to 918 of the family's 1533-position model. The record is from RNAcentral.
AUACGUAGGGAGCGAGCGUUGUCCGGAAUUACUGGGUGUAAAGGGAGCGUAGGCGGGAGUGCAAGUCAGAUGUGAAAUGCAUGGGCUCAACCCAUGGGCUGCAUUUGAAACUGCAUUUCUUGAGUGAAGUAGAGGUAAGCGGAAUUCCUGGUGUAGCGGUGAAAUGCGUAGAUAUCAGGAGGAACACCGGUGGCGAAGGCGGCUUACUGGGCUUUACUGACGCUGAGGCUCGAAAGCGUGGGGAGCAAACAGGAUUAGAUACCCUGGUAGUCCACGCUGUAAACGAUGAUUACUAGGUGUGGGGGGACUGACCCCUUCCGUGCCGCAGUUAACACAAUAAGUAAUCCACCUGGGGAGUACGGCCGCAAGGUUGAAACUCAAAUGAAUUGACGGGG